GACGAACGCUGGCGGCGUGCUUAACACAUGCAAGUCGAACGGAAAGGCCCUGCUUUUGUGGGGUGCUCGAGUGGCGAACGGGUGAGUAACACGUGAGUAACCUGCCCUUGACUUUGGGAUAACUUCAGGAAACUGGGGCUAAUACCGGCUAGGAGCUCCUGCUGCAUGGUGGGGGUUGGAAAGUUUCGGCGGUUGGGGAUGGACUCGCGGCUUAUCAGCUUGUUGGUGGGGUAGUGGCUUACCAAGGCUUUGACGGGUAGCCGUCCUGAGAGGGUGACCGGCCACAUUGGGACUGAGACACGGCCCAGACUCCUACGGGAGGCAGCAGUGGGGAAUAUUGCACAAUGGGCGGAAGCCUGAUGCAGCAACGCCGCGUGCGGGAUGACGGCCUUCGGGUUGUAAACCGCUUUCGCCUGUGACGAAGCGUGAGUGACGGUAAUGGGUAAAGAAGCACCGGCUAACUACGUG
Molecule: ribosomal RNA, 468 nt
Filed under: uncultured bacterium
Lineage: Bacteria
Description: partial 16S ribosomal RNA
Rfam family: Bacterial small subunit ribosomal RNA
Source: RNAcentral